This 431-nucleotide ribosomal RNA is filed under the name uncultured bacterium. Its description in RNAcentral is "partial 16S ribosomal RNA". It matches the Rfam family "Bacterial small subunit ribosomal RNA", at positions 30 to 507 of the family's 1533-position model. The record is from RNAcentral.
CGAACGCUGGCGGCAGGCCUAACACAUGCAAGUCGAACGAACUCUUCGGAGUUAGUGGCGGACGGGUGAGUAACACGUGGGAACGUGCCUUUAGGUUCGGAAUAACUCAGGGAAACUUGUGCUAAUACCGAAUGUGCCCUUCGGGGGAAAGAUUUAUCGCCUUUAGAGCGGCCCGCGUCUGAUUAGCUAGUUGGUGAGGUAAAGGCUCACCAAGGCGACGAUCAGUAGCUGGUCUGAGAGGAUGAUCAGCCACAUUGGGACUGAGACACGGCCCAAACUCCUACGGGAGGCAGCAGUGGGGAAUCUUGCGCAAUGGGCGAAAGCCUGACGCAGCCAUGCCGCGUGAAUGAUGAAGGUCUUAGGAUUGUAAAAUUCUUUCACCGGGGACGAUAAUGACGGUACCCGGAGAAGAAGCCCCGGCUAACUUCGUG